RNAcentral lists this ribosomal RNA (601 nucleotides) under uncultured Staphylococcus sp. RNAcentral's name for it is "bacterial SSU rRNA". It matches the Rfam family "Bacterial small subunit ribosomal RNA", at positions 302 to 881 of the family's 1533-position model. The record is from RNAcentral. Lineage: Bacteria; Bacillati; Bacillota; Bacilli; Caryophanales; Staphylococcaceae.
GAUCGGCCACACUGGCAACUGAGACACGGUCCAGACUCCUACGGGAGGCAGCAGUAGGGAAUCUUCCGCAAUGGGCGAAAGCUUGACGGAGCAACGCCGCGUGAGUGUAUGAAGGUCUUCGGAUCGUAAAACUCUGUUAUUAGGGAAGUACUAUAUGUGUAAGUAACUAUGCACGUCUUGACGGUACCUAAUCAGGAUAGCCUACGGCUAACUACGUGCCAGCAGCCGCGGUAAUACGUAGGUGGCAAGCGUUAUCCGGAAUUAUUGGGCGUAAAGCGCGCGUAGGCGGUUUUUUAAGUCUGAUGUGAUAAGCCCACGGCUCAACCGUGGAGGGUCAUUGGAAACUGGAAAACUUGAGCGCUAGAAGAGGAAAGUGGAAUUCCAUGUGUAGCAGGUGAAAUGCGCAGAGAUAUGGAGGUACACCAGUGGCGAAGGCGACUUUCUGGUCUGUAACUGACGCUGAUGUGCGAAAGCGUGGGGAUCAUACAGGAUUAGAUACCCUGGUAGUCCACGCCGUAAACGAUGAGUGCUAUAGUGUUAGGGGGUUUCCAGCCCCAUUAGUGCGUGCAGCUAACCGCAUUAAGCACUCCGCCUGGGGAGU